GGCACCCUCUGCUCCUUCCCUUGCCUUGGCCAUUUGAGGUGGGCACAGUACCCUCCAUGAACCUUGCCUCUAGUGGCACUCGGCUCCAGCCACUGAAGCAGGUCCCUCUGUGGUGGUGACAUCAGUACGUCACGCUUAGCCUCUGGGGCUUUCUGGAACUACCUGUUCACAUUUCCUGGGUCAGCAGUCUCCUGGCUCCUUUCCCGUCAAAGCGGACCCCUUGCUGGCCUCUUCAGAGCUGAAAGCUACAGAUGGUGUUCCAGACGAGUCUCUGAAAUCCCUGCUGGGUCUGGGGUGCUCCUCCUGAAGGCAGAGAAGAAGCUGGUGACUCUCUCAGCCUCCUCCCCGGUGUGCCAGUGAGUGCCUCAACUGCAGAGUGCAUGGGAGAAAGGAUGCGGCCUGGACUCACCCAGAACAGACAACAGGGA
This is a non-coding RNA of Myodes glareolus (Bank vole), 428 nucleotides long. The record is from RefSeq and is a predicted model, not a curated record. NCBI's taxonomy places the organism in Eukaryota, Metazoa, Chordata, Mammalia, Rodentia, Cricetidae.